Molecule: ribosomal RNA, 366 nt
Filed under: uncultured eukaryote
Lineage: Eukaryota
Description: partial 18S ribosomal RNA
Rfam family: Eukaryotic small subunit ribosomal RNA
Source: RNAcentral
CAAUAGCGUAUAUUAAAGUUGUUGCAGUUAAAAAGCUCGUAGUUGAAUUUCUGGGCGGCCCGCCGGUCUUCCAUGUGUUGUACUGGGCGGCGCCGGCCAUCCUUGUGGAGAGGGCUCGCAUUUGGUUGCGUGUCGGAUCUGCAUCAUUUACUGUGAAAAAAUUAGAGUGUUUAAAGCAGGCUGUCGCUUGAAUACAUUAGCAUGGAAUAAUAAGAUAGGACUUCGGUCUAUUUUGUCGGUUGCGAACCGAGGUAAUGAUUAAUAGGGAUAGUUGGGGGUAUUCAUAUUUAAUUGUCAGAGGUGAAAUUCUUGGAUUUAUGAAAGAUGAACAACUGCGAAAGCAUUUACCAAGGAUGUUUUCAUUAA